RNAcentral lists this long non-coding RNA (815 nucleotides) under Triticum aestivum (bread wheat). RNAcentral's name for it is "long non-coding RNA (TAES_LNC008532)". The record is from RNAcentral. Lineage: Eukaryota; Viridiplantae; Streptophyta; Magnoliopsida; Poales; Poaceae.
CCCUCCUUCCUCGAAACCCUAGAUUCCGCCGCCCCCCCGCGCGGUGCGAUCGUGCGGCCCGCGGCCUCCCGCGAUGCCCAUAUAAGGAGGCCCCCUCUCCCCCCCGAGGCUCUCGACACAACCGCUCUCGCGCUCUAGGGUUUGCGCCGCCGCCGCCUCGAGGACAAUGGGACGCACGGUGGUUUCCGACGAGGAAGGUACGCGAUUUCGUUGCUGAUUUCUGCGGUUUCGCGUGUUUUGGUGCCCUCGGCGGCGGUCUGUGCGCGUUUUCUGAUGGGAAAAGCUUGCGCUUCUGUUGGAACCCUAGAGGACGACUUCAUCGAGGCCGAGGAAGAGGACGAGCCGCGGCCGUCGCGGAGGGCCAGGGAUGAUGACGACGAGCAGGACGACGACGAUGAGGAGGAUGAUGAUGAAGGUUAGUUUCUCGUAACGACCUCCCCAUUACGUUUGCUUGCGCGAGCGAUUUGUUGGCUGGAGUUAUCCUUUCCUCUCGAUUGAGAUGCUUUUAUGUGCUGUGCGGUACUGUGUUUCGGGCGUUCUCUUGCUUGAUUUCUUAUUUCAAUUGUUCUUAUUGUCUAUUACGAUGUUGUGGUAUUGAUUCCAGUUUGCAGCAGUUGCCUUUUUCUAGUUGAAUCGCCUGUGAUUGUGUUCUCGAGCUAGUAUAGCAAUAACGGGGUGACCUUGUUUGUGAGCAGAUGAGGGACAGAAUGAGUACGAGAAGGAUGGCUUCAUAGUGGAUGAUGCGGAUGAAGACGAGGAAGAGGAGGAGGAGGAGGCGAGAGCUAGUGAUGAUGAAAGACGCAAGAAGAAAAAGA